Regulatory RNA element from Helicobacter mustelae 12198, 129 nucleotides. It matches the Rfam family "purD RNA motif". The record is from Rfam. Lineage: Bacteria; Pseudomonadati; Campylobacterota; Epsilonproteobacteria; Campylobacterales; Helicobacteraceae.
GUGGAUUUUGUGUGUUCGAUAUUUUUGUUUGAGAUUUUUUAGAAAAUUGAGAAUCUAUCGCCUAAUAAAUUCCUUCUAGCCUUAUUGUUAGCUUUUGGGCUCAACAUUUUAAAUAGCGGUUAUUUGGGU